Molecule: long non-coding RNA, 284 nt
Filed under: Vitis vinifera (wine grape)
Lineage: Eukaryota; Viridiplantae; Streptophyta; Magnoliopsida; Vitales; Vitaceae
Description: long non-coding RNA (VVIN_LNC006177)
Source: RNAcentral
GCCGAGGUGCUCGAGAUGCUUGUGGUGCUUCUCCUCCUUCCUGUAGUCAGGGCCUGGGUCAUCUGCUAACACUUCGGUGGUUUCGGCAGCGUAGCCGCUGACACCAUCGGUAGCAUAGCUGGUGUCGGAGUAGGUGGUGUCGGAGUAGGGAACGGCGUCGUCAACAGGCUUGUCCUUGUGGUGGAAGAGGUGGUGGUGAUGCUUCUCCUCCGACAUGGUGGUGGUGAUCAAAUUAGCUGCAGAAACGAGAGAGGAAGAUGGUUUGUGAACUGUGAAGGUGUGAU